Molecule: non-coding RNA, 81 nt
Organism: Chiua virens
Lineage: Eukaryota; Fungi; Basidiomycota; Agaricomycetes; Boletales; Boletaceae
Source: the annotation of a GenBank genome assembly
GGGCACUUGGCACAGUUGGUAGCGCGCACGCUUCGCACUGAAGAUUGCGUGAGGUCGUGGGUUCAACUCCCACAGUGUCCA